GCAACAGGAGGACACUAUUUUGCCACUAAGCCAAGCUGCUAGCAAGAAAGAGCCUUGCAGCACAGGGGUUCCUGGGUGGCUCUGUCAGUAAAGCGCCCAGCUUAGGCUCAGGUCAUGAUCUCACAGCUCGUGGGUGGCUCGUGGGUUACAGCUCCGGAUCUGGCUGUGUGCUGCCAGCGUAGAGCCUCUUUGGAUCCUCUCUGUCCCUCCGAGCUCACGCCCUCUCUCAAAAAUUAAAAAAAAAAAAAGUUUAAAAAACGUUUUCAGAACCUUGCAGCACAGCUAGAAUGUAAACUGAUACCAAACAAACCAUUACUUGUCUCCACUGAUGUUUUACAAUGUUGCUUGCUGCGCCGGUUGUCAGUGUGUUAUCUCUAGCUCCGCGUUCACUCUCAUUCCAUGCACUGCAGGAUGGAGCUGGGCCCUCCGAGCGCUCUUCCCCUGCCAGGUGGGCCGUUGCAGAGAUGUGCUGGGGAAGAAACCCCCUGGGAGGCAGUGCGGGAGGAAGGGGCUUUGCUGCCCGGCUCCAGUGAGUUCCCUUGACAGCUGCAGAACGAGAGGCCUCCCUGGAGCCCACCUCCCCGCACCAAGGACGGCUUCUUCUAGCUCCAGGUUCCGCGAGCACCCGACUCCGCGGUGCAGGCUGCCAGCACGCUGCUCCAGCUCCUGCCCUAUAGCCGCAAAGGCGCGCCCCUGAACAGCUUUCCUGGCACUCCGGAGGGACUGCCAGACGUCCUGCCAGCGCUUCUCCGCCAUUUGGUGAGCUGUAGCUAGGCUAUCUCCAAGCAAGUUGGACCUCAGCCCUGGGGGUAAGGAGGUCUCUUCCCCCGGGGGCUUUAUCCCAGCCCUCAGAAUAGCGGCUCCUUCUUACCUCUACUAUUCUCCCAUUCUUCAGAGCUCUCUUUACUUUUACUGGCCUAUCCCUUGGACCCUAUUUGAGACAGAUACCAAAUAAAUAGCUGAUCCCUAGCACUCCCAAAGGCAUAUAGAGCAGAGGUGGGGGAAAUGAUCUUUCAGUCUUCCAUCUGCGUCGUUUGGCACCCACCCCCGCAAACAUGAGCAGUGCAGCCCAGGGCUCCCACCCCAGCACGGAGGUCUGGUCUUCUGGGUCUCCCACUAACGUACCUUUUUCUAUACUCUCAGUGGGUGGUGCAGCCCAUAACACUACUACAGCUUGCAGUAGCCCAUGUUUUAGGAAAAACCACUCUCCUCCUGUGUCUCCUUUACUCUUAACAGCUACUGCUCCUGCAGCGAUUCUGACACCAGCUGUGUGACACCAGAUCCUGACACCCAGCAAUUCUGUGACAUCGGCUGGGUAUCCCACUGUAACUCACUCUGGUACCAUCCACCUGGAGACGGCAUCACAUCCACAGGUGGAGGGCUUCAUCCUGCAAGACCCCCUACACUUCAGACGCCAACCGUGAGUCCAAAGUGGUAUCUGUGCUUCUGACCAAUUGGCUAUGAAUAUGAAUUGGGGUUCCCAUGAUCCUCCCUCAGGUGCAAUUAACUUGUUAGAGCGGCUCACAGAACUCAGAGAAAGAGUUCACAGACUGUUUACCAACUUAUUAUAAAAGGAUAUGACAAAAGCUACAGGUAAGCCUCCAGAUGAAAGAGAUGUCUGGACCAAGGUAUAGGGACGGACACACGGGGGUUCCAUGUCUCUCCAGGUCACCAAUCCACCAGCACCACCAUGUGCUCACCAACCCAGGAGCUCUUUGAACCCAGGGAAAUAAUGAGGACCCACCAAAUGAGAACAAGAAAAGGCUAUUUGUUCAGAGCUUGCGAUAGUGAGGGAGUCACUCCAUCACCUGGCCUGGUAGAGGCCCAGAGGCAGCAAGGGAGGGGGAGAGCUUCAUGGUGGAAAAGGGGGACUCAGGGGUGCCCUGAUGGGGGCUGUGGGCCUGAGGGAGCCAGAGAUGAACUCUAGAGAAGUGGGGCAUCUCCUGUGUUCGAUUUUCUCUGGUUGGUCCUGAGUUGGACCCGGGAACAAAAAUUAGGUAAGAUGUCAGUUAUUGACCGAGUCCUGGCCAUCUGGCUUAUUUGGACCGUCAGAGGGUAUUGUAUGGCUUUCUGGGUUGUCACCAGAGCCAGCAGUCCGAAUUGCCCCAAGUCUGACUUCGAGCAGCCGGCUUCCUGGGCGGGCUUCUGCAGAGGAGGCAUUGGUUUUGGGCGGGCUGCUGCAGGCCGUGGGCCUAUUUUCAUAAAUGGUCUGGCCACUGGCCACUUGUAUAUUCAGUUUCUCAUAAUAGGCACUGAUGAGCCAGUGCAGUGUUAACAGAAAACAUUGCUCCCAAGGUCACAACUCAGCUGUGAAGUGUCCUGACAGCCUCUUCCUUCUUACCGGUAACCUCCAUUGCCUGCUCUGUGGCCCCACCUCAUGAACAAAAAUACCUAAGACCCAGUUACUAAGUGGUCCACACUUCAUGACAGCAACCAUCUGAAGAUGGCCCUCACUUCCCCUCUCCCCUCCUCAGAAUUAUUCAGUGCAACCCCAAACCUUACAAAAUUCCCUCUCCAGUCUCCUCAUGAGACACAAUGGAGAAAUCUCUAGGGUUCUCUCUUUGCAACAGGUUAAUAAACCAGACCUGGUCUAUUAGGUUUAUCCCUAGUGGACUUGACUGUUGGGCAUUUUCACCCAUCUCAAGUAUCUUCUCCUCCACUCAAUCUUUGGAUGCAGUUUUUCCCUCCUCCAGCCCCAGAAUACUUUGUGUGUCCUGGUGCUAGAGUUAAUUAGCUAGGGUUAAUGUUAGGACAUUUCCUCUACUAGACUGUAAGGCCCUUUAGAGACUGUGUGGGAUUCAUCUUUGUGUCCGAGUUCUAAUGAGACAAAUGAUGUGCACCUGGCCAGACAAAGAUGGACACAGUCUCCCCUGGCUAAGCUCUCGAGUGUUCAAGAAAGCCCUGAACAAGUGAAGAUUUAUCUUCAACUGACCCUCUCAAAGACAGUUUUCUAUGGACUCAUGUCUUGGCUAGAUGCCAGCUAAUUGGUGUGGGUUUUGUUUGUUUGAAGUUUAUUUAUUUUGACAAAGAGAAAGAGCGUGUGCACACACACACACACGCACACACAUGCACACAGGGCACUUGAGCAGGGGAGAAGCAGAGAGAGAGAGGGAGAGCGAUAAUCCCAAGCAGGCUCUGCACUGACAGUGCAGGGGGGCUCAAACUCACGAACUGUGAGAUUGUGACCUGAGCUAAAACCGAGAGUCAGAUGCUCAACAGAGAGAGCCACCCAGGUGCCCCCCCUUUUUUUAAGUGAAUCUUUUCACUGUUCCAAAGGCUGACAUCAGUGUUUUCUUUCUUGUCCCUCUCCCCCAUCCAGGAUCUCCCUCACGAGACUAAAGAGCACAUAACUGGGG
RNAcentral lists this long non-coding RNA (3356 nucleotides) under Lynx pardinus (Iberian lynx). Lineage: Eukaryota; Metazoa; Chordata; Mammalia; Carnivora; Felidae. The record is from RNAcentral.